Molecule: ribosomal RNA, 497 nt
Filed under: Bacillus subtilis
Lineage: Bacteria; Bacillati; Bacillota; Bacilli; Caryophanales; Bacillaceae
Description: bacterial SSU rRNA
Rfam family: Bacterial small subunit ribosomal RNA
Source: RNAcentral
UUUCGGAUCGUAAAGCUCUGUUGUUAGGGAAGAACAAGUACCGUUCGAAUAGGGCGGUACCUUGACGGUACCUAACCAGAAAGCCACGGCUAACUACGUGCCAGCAGCCGCGCUAAUACGUAGGUGGCAAGCGUUGUCCGGAAUUAUUGGGCGUAAAGGGCUCGCAGGCGGUUUCUUAAGUCUGAUGUGAAAGCCCCCGGCUCAACCGGGGAGGGUCAUUGGAGACUGGGGAACUUGAGUGCAAAAGAGGAGAGUGGAAUUCCACGUGUAGCGGUGAGAUGCGUAAAGAUGGCGAGGAAGACCAGUGUGGAAGGCGACUCUCUGGUCUGUAACUGACGCUGAGGAGCGAAAGCGUGGGGAGCGAACAGGAUUACAUACCCUGGUAGUCCACGCCGUAAACGAUGAGUGCUAAGUGUUAGGGGGUUUCCGCCCCUUAGUGCUGCAGCUAACGCAUUAAGCACUCCGCCCUGGGGGAGUACGGUCGCAAGACUGAAACU